This 586-nucleotide ribosomal RNA is filed under the name uncultured Glomus. Its description in RNAcentral is "eukaryotic LSU rRNA". It matches the Rfam family "Eukaryotic large subunit ribosomal RNA", at positions 204 to 637 of the family's 3401-position model. Lineage: Eukaryota; Fungi; Glomeromycota; Glomeromycetes; Glomerales; Glomeraceae. The record is from RNAcentral.
CAUGGAGGGUGAGAAUCCCGUCCGGCUGACCUUCAGGACGUUUUACGAUACGCUUUCAAAGAGUCGAGUUGUUUGGGAUUGCAGCUCAAAAUGGGAGGUAAAUUUCUCCUAAGGCUAAAUACCGGCGAGAGACCGAUAGCGAACAAGUACCGUGAGGGAAAGAUGAAAAGAAUUUUGAAAAGAAAGUCAAACAGUACGUGAAAUUGUUGAAAGGGAAACGAUUGAAGCCAGUCGUACCGACGGGAAUUCAACUUCUCGAGUGCUAAUCGUGGGUGACGUUGAGCCUCACGGCCUUCGUUGCUUGUGUUGUUGGUGCUUUUGGGGUGUACUUUUCCGCAUUGGUAGGUCAGCAUCGAUUUCGAUCGUCAUAAAAUGAUCGGGAGAAUGUAGCUUCGGUCUCGUAUCGGAGUGUUAUAGACCUUGGUAGAUGUGACGAUUGGGAUCGAGGAUUGCAACGAAUACCCUUUGGGCUAUCCGUCUGUCCUCUGAAAGUCGCUCGGGUGUCGAAAGCGUGCUUAUGGCUAUUCGAGUUGGCGGUCAACAGGUUAGAACGUGAUUAUAUUCGUUAAGGAUGUUGACGUAAUGG